GCUUCCCGUCGCCGGCAGGACCGAGGAGCCCCCGAAAAAGCGCCAGAGAGUCCUGGACACGACUUGCAAUCUUGCAUUACAACGAAAACUUGGACCGCUGCCAAGCUGUGACGCAACAGGGCGAUCCAUGUUUCACGGUGACCACAUCAAAGGCACGGAAGGGACUCGCCACAGCACGUGAAAAGAAAACGGAUCCAACUUAUGAGUACGUUGGAAAGCUAGUCCGGGAGGUGAUGGCCAGCAACGAGCAGUGCACGUCCCUUGAUGAGGCAGCAAUAGCCAAGAAACGCAUCUUUCCGGCACCCAUGAAUGCCGCCUUUACGAGGCCUUCCAAAAGGGAACUCGUGGAGGCAAAGAGGUCCCGGUUCGGCCAGGUUACCCCGUGAGGGACCUCCUUAAAUCCCUCCUGUCACCCGUGCACUCGAUGGACACCUGCCUCGGCCAAGCGGGCGUUAGGAGGCAUGGUUAACACAUCGAAGGCACGGAAGGGACAUGCCACAGCACGAGAAAAGAAAACGGAUCCAACGUAUGAGUACGUUGGAAAGCUAGUCCAGGAGGCGAUGGCCAGCAACGAGCAGUGCACGUCCCUCGAUGAGGCAGCAAUAGCCAAGAAGCGCAUCUUUCCGGCACCCAUGAAUGCCGCCUUUACAAGGCCUUC
Molecule: long non-coding RNA, 658 nt
Organism: Ixodes scapularis (black-legged tick)
Lineage: Eukaryota; Metazoa; Arthropoda; Arachnida; Ixodida; Ixodidae
Exons: 5
Source: RefSeq, a predicted model, not a curated record